UGGGGAAUCUUCCACAAUGGACGAAAGUCUGAUGGAGCAACGCCGCGUGAGUGAAGAAGGUCUUCGGAUCGUAAAGCUCUGUUGUCAGGGACGAAUGUAGGCUCUGGGAAUAUCGGAGACUAAUGACGGUACCUGACGAGGAAGCCACGGCUAACUACGUGCCAGCAGCCGCGGUAAUACGUAGGUGGCAAGCGUUGUCCGGCAUUAUUGGGCGUAAAGGGAGCGCAGGUGUGCGUGUAAGUCUUUCUUAAAAGUGCGGGGCUCAACCCCGAGAUGGGAAAGAAACUAUAAGACGUGAGUGCAGUAGAGGAAAGCGGAAUUCCUAGUGUAGCGGUGAAAUGCGUAGAUAUUAGGAGGAACACCAGUGGCGAAGGCGGCUUUCUGGACUGUAACUGACACUGAGGCUCGAAAGCCAGGGGAGCGAACG
RNAcentral lists this ribosomal RNA (427 nucleotides) under uncultured prokaryote. RNAcentral describes it as "bacterial SSU rRNA". It matches the Rfam family "Bacterial small subunit ribosomal RNA", at positions 355 to 774 of the family's 1533-position model. The record is from RNAcentral.